Molecule: ribosomal RNA, 677 nt
Filed under: uncultured archaeon
Lineage: Archaea
Description: bacterial SSU rRNA
Rfam family: Archaeal small subunit ribosomal RNA
Source: RNAcentral
CCCUACGGGGUGCAGCAGGCGAGAAAACUUUGCAAUGUGCGAAAGCACGACAAGGUUAAUCCGAGUGGUUUCUGCUAAAGGAACCUUUUGUCGGUCCUAGAAACACCGAUGAAUAAGGGGUGGGCAAGUUCUGGUGUCAGCCGCCGCGGUAAAACCAGCACCUCAAGUGGUCAGGAUGAUUAUUGGGCCUAAAGCAUCCGUAGCCGGCUCUGUAAGUUUUCGGUUAAAUCUGUACGCUUAACGUACAGGCUGCCGGGAAUACUGCAGAGCUAGGUAGUGGGAGAGGUAGACGGUACUCGGUGGAAAGGGGUAAAAUCCUUUGAUCUAUUGAUGACCACCUGUGGCGAAGGCGGUCUACCAGAACACGUACGACGGUGAGGGAUGAAAGCUGGGGGAGCAAACCGGAUUAGAUACCCGGGUAGUCCCAGCUGUAAACUAUGCAAACUCAGUGAUGCAUUGGCUUGUGGCCAAUGCAGUGCUGCAGGGAAGCCGUUAAGUUUGCCGCCUGGGAAGUACGUACGCAAGUAUGAAACUUAAAGGAAUUGGCGGGGGAGCACCACAAGGGGUGAAGCCUGCGGUUCAAUUGGAGUCAACGCCAGAAAUCUUACCCGGAGAGACAGCAGAAUGAAGGUCAAGCUGAAGACUUUACCAGACAAGCUGAGAAGUGGUGCAUGGCC